UGUAAUUCAAUGCGAUCAUCAGCAAGAAGCUCGAAUAGUCUAAUAAUAACAUGCGAUGUCGGUCAUCUUUGCAUACGUAUGUUCCAUACCAGCGGCGACAUAUUGUGACUCAUUUAGGCAAUGUAUGCUAUACAUUCGUAUAGAGUGGCUACGACUAUAUGGCGAACAUGAGGGCUUGAGCUGUGCAUCUUCAUAUACGUGGGUACUGUAAUCAUCAUCCAACUAUCGUGUCAUUUCUUUCCAGACAUACUUCGUAGAAACAAUUCUUGUUUCUUGUUUCUUGUUUCCAGUAGACCAGACAUCCUGAUCCUUCGUUAGCCAAGAGAAAUGAGAAACUUCACUCUAGUCCACUCGGCGAAGACAAACCGUCUGCCGCUUGUUGGAUAGCACUCUGCUGCCUGGUGCAGGAUAAUAGGGGAUGUCAGGUGCUUGGGUUCGAUUAUUAUUUUUACGUGAAUGGAGGGUGCGGAUGGAACGAAACGAGGAGAACGCAUGGGAGGAAAACUGAUGAGGGGUAUGUCUGAAAGUUUCGAGAGAUCUUGUUGUAUCCAACAGGGUGAAAUGGUAUGUGAAGGGUCUACAUCAUCCAGCGUAAAGUGUGAGAGACUCUUGCAAUGAAAGAGGAACU
This 628-nucleotide small RNA is filed under the name Cryptococcus neoformans H99. RNAcentral describes it as "Cryptococcus neoformans var. grubii H99 hypothetical RNA". The record is from RNAcentral. Lineage: Eukaryota; Fungi; Basidiomycota; Tremellomycetes; Tremellales; Cryptococcaceae.